UGCUCAGCUAAAGUGACUCCCUUU
This 24-nucleotide microRNA is filed under the name Simian foamy virus. RNAcentral describes it as "sfv-miR-S2-3p". Its record names the gene sfv-miR-S2-3p. The record is from miRBase by way of RNAcentral. Lineage: Riboviria; Pararnavirae; Artverviricota; Revtraviricetes; Ortervirales; Retroviridae.